RNAcentral lists this ribosomal RNA (254 nucleotides) under uncultured bacterium. RNAcentral's name for it is "partial 16S ribosomal RNA". It matches the Rfam family "Bacterial small subunit ribosomal RNA", at positions 526 to 779 of the family's 1533-position model. The record is from RNAcentral.
CGUAGGUGGCAAGCGUUGUCCGGAUUUAUUGGGCGUAAAGGGAACGCAGGCGGUUUUUUAAGUCUGAUGUGAAAGCCUUCGGCUUAACCGGAGAUGUGCAUUGGAAACUGGAAGACUUGAGUGCAGAAGAGGAGAGUGGAACUCCAUGUGUAGCGGUGAAAUGCGUAGAUAUAUGGAAGAACACCAGUGGCGAAAGCGGCUCUCUGGUCUGUAACUGACGCUGAGGUUCGAAAGCAUGGGUAGCGAACAGGAUU